This 76-nucleotide transfer RNA is filed under the name Coriobacteriales bacterium. Its description in RNAcentral is "tRNA-Glu". It matches the Rfam family "tRNA". Rfam says of the family: Transfer RNA (tRNA) molecules are approximately 80 nucleotides in length. Their secondary structure includes four short double-helical elements and three loops (D, anti-codon, and T loops). Further hydrogen bonds mediate the characteristic L-shaped molecular structure. tRNAs have two regions of fundamental functional importance: the anti-codon, which is responsible for specific mRNA codon recognition, and the 3' end, to which the tRNAs corresponding amino acid is attached (by aminoacyl-tRNA synthetases). tRNAs cope with the degeneracy of the genetic code in two manners: having more than one tRNA (with a specific anti-codon) for a particular amino acid; and 'wobble' base-pairing, i.e. permitting non-standard base-pairing at the 3rd anti-codon position. Lineage: Bacteria; Bacillati; Actinomycetota; Coriobacteriia; Coriobacteriales. The record is from RNAcentral.
GCCCCCAUAGUCUAGCGGUUAGGACGCCACCCUUUCAAGGUGGAGGUCACGGGUUCGAACCCCGUUGGGGGUGCCA